Molecule: long non-coding RNA, 711 nt
Filed under: Panax ginseng (ginseng)
Lineage: Eukaryota; Viridiplantae; Streptophyta; Magnoliopsida; Apiales; Araliaceae
Description: long non-coding RNA (PGIN_LNC010177)
Source: RNAcentral
UUUACCAUGAGCCAAAGAAGAUGUGCCUCUUAUAUAAUGAAUAUUUUAAUGCUUAAACCACAUAUCAAAGAGAUAAAUUUGAAUUACGAAUUCAAAUUACCUUUUGUGGUGGUUAUAAUAUUUUAGUGGAACUGAUGUAAACUUGUGGAAGAUGGUCCAAGGAAAUGGGUAAAUUUGAAACAUUGUUAUGCAAGCAACAGAUGUCUAUUGCUUAUUUAAUCUAUAGGGGAUGCUUUAUGUGUGCAUAUUUCUUACUUUAUUAUGCAUUGAACUUCCCAUGUUUGUAUUCAGAAUCUAUUCUACAUUUCCUCCCUUAGCUCAAUCGUCUAUCUUUUUCUUUUGGAUGUUCUUAUUGUUUAUUUAUGUUAAAAGUUAUUCCAAAAUGCUCUCAUUAUGCACCUUAAAUGAUAGCUCGUCAUAGAGCAUCUAAAAUUUUAAUUUCAGUUUUGAAUAAUUCAUGCUUACUCUUUGAUGUAAUCAUCCAGUAAGCUGGAAUCUGGGUCCGAUAUGUCUAUCCUUUGAAUGUCUUGAGCUCAUCCUGUAUAACCAUUCCUUCCAGCUUAUUUACUCCAGUUUGUUGAAGCUGUUAAGGAAUUUUGUUGUUUCACUUCUUCCUUGAACCGUUUCUAGUUAGUUUUAGCUCCAUCUUAGAUGCCCUUUUAUCUUUUGCAGAGGUAUAUCAUAUUCUGUUACUGUAUAUUAACAUUGUCG